AAGUGGCUGCGUGGUGCGACAGGCUGUUUAUCCCUGGGGCCGAUAACCUAUUCUCUCGGGAGCUGUCUCUGCUGCGAUCGUGGUCGUGGUACGCGGUGCCCACCUGCCUAGGCAGGCCGCAAGAGGAUACAAUGCCAACGGCUGAGGCGGCUGCUUC
This 157-nucleotide non-coding RNA is filed under the name Azospirillaceae bacterium. Its description in RNAcentral is "6S RNA". It matches the Rfam family "6S / SsrS RNA". From Rfam's summary of the family: E. coli 6S RNA was the first non coding RNA to be sequenced, but its function was unknown until recently. It consists of 184 nucleotides that fold into an extended hairpin structure with a large single-stranded internal bulge. The record is from RNAcentral. Lineage: Bacteria; Pseudomonadati; Pseudomonadota; Alphaproteobacteria; Rhodospirillales; Azospirillaceae.